This 1239-nucleotide long non-coding RNA is filed under the name Felis catus (domestic cat). RNAcentral's name for it is "lncRNA (ENSFCAG00000040736.2)". The record is from RNAcentral. Lineage: Eukaryota; Metazoa; Chordata; Mammalia; Carnivora; Felidae.
GGCUCUUCAACAUAGAAAGAUUUCACAAGGAAAGGUUAGCAUUUUUCAAGAAUUCGAGUGUCCUCUCAGAAAUGCCUCCUGUUCUCCACCCCACCUCCUUGCUGGUAUCAGCCACAAGUGGCCAGUCUUCCAGAAGCUCUGCUCAGGGCCCCCAGGGCACCUGCCUGCCCACUCCUGCCUGCUACUUAAGCUCUUCUCCACCGCUGGAACUCACUCCAGGGGCAGGUGGAGGAGACCCGAAGGUCCCAGGUGACGGGAGCCAUAACCCAGGGUGCUCGAGAGGGGACCCCGCGGGCACCACAUGACACCAGUCCUUUGUACGUACUACCAAGAAAGCCAACGCGCUGCGAAUUAAACACAUGAAUUGUAAGAUGCCUCCUGAUUUCAGAGACAGUCCUGUGAGAGAAAAAUCUGGGUCGAAGCCACUUAAACGUGGUAGUAAAAACCAGAUGGUGUAAUAGAUAUGAUGAGCUUCUGAGUCCUCCAGCAAAGGAGUGCCCUCCUGCCUGCCCACUGUCUGCCUGUUUUCCUUCCUUAAUUCCUCCUUCCCUUCCUUCCCCACUGCUUGCUUUCUUUCUUUCUUUCUUUCUUUCCUUCUUUCUUCCUUCUUUCCUUCCCUCCUUUGUCUUUCUUCUUUCUUCCUUUCUUCCACAUUUCUUAAAAUUUCUUUAAAUUUUAAAAUUUCUUUUUAAAUUGAAUUGCAUACAUAAAAUGUACAUCUCGAUGACUCUUUCCUUAUGUGUACACCCAUGUAAUCACUGCCCAAAUCUCAAGACAGAACACUUCCACCACCCAAGAGUCUCCCCUAUGCCCCAUCCUGGUCAUACCUGCCCCCAGAGGGGACUACUCUUCUGACCUCUAUCCCCAUGGGUGAGUCUUGUCUCAUCUGCUUUUGAUCUCCAUGGAAGCAGAAUCGUACUGACUUCUUUUGUUCAACAUAAUGCUUGUGAGAUCCACUCGUGUCACUGCGUCUGUCAGCUCUCUCUCAUAUUUCUUUCUUCUAACUCAAAUGAAAUCCUGGGGCGCCUGGGUGGCGCAGUCGGUUAAGCGUCCGACUUCAGCCAGGUCACGAUCUCGCGGUCCGUGAGUUCGAGCCCCGCGUCGGUUUCUGGGCUGACGGCUCAGAGCCUGGAGCCUGUUUCCGAUUCUGUGUCUCCGUCUCUCUGUGCCCCUCCCCCGUUCAUGCUCUGUCUCUCUCCCAAAAAUAAAUAAACGUUGAAAAAAAAAAUUUAAAAAAAA